Molecule: ribosomal RNA, 483 nt
Filed under: uncultured bacterium
Lineage: Bacteria
Description: partial 16S ribosomal RNA
Rfam family: Bacterial small subunit ribosomal RNA
Source: RNAcentral
GACGAACGCUGGCGGCGUGCUUAACACAUGCAAGUCGAACGAUGAAGCCCAGCUUGCUGGGUGGAAGGGUGGCGAACGGGUGAGUAACACGUGAGUAACCUGCCCCGAACUCUGGGAUAAGCACUGGAAACGGUGUCUAAUACUGGAUAUGCACCAUGGCCGCAUGGCCUGUGGUGGGAAAGAUUUAUCGGUUCGGGAUGGACUCACGGCCUAUCAGCUAGUUGGUGAGGUAACGGCCCACCAAGGCGACGACGGGUAGCCGGCCUGAGAGGGUGACCAGCCACACUGGGACUGAGACACGGCCCAGACUCCUACGGGAGGCAGCAGUGGGGAAUAUUGCACAAUGGGCGCAAGCCUGAUUCAGCAACGCCGCGUGAGGGAUGACGGCCUUCGGGUUGUAAACCUCUUUUAGUAGGGAAGAAGCGAAAGUGACGGUACCUGCAGAAAAAGCACCGGCCAACUACGUGCCAGCCGCCGCCGUAA